RNAcentral lists this ribosomal RNA (377 nucleotides) under uncultured organism. RNAcentral's name for it is "partial 16S ribosomal RNA". It matches the Rfam family "Bacterial small subunit ribosomal RNA", at positions 527 to 897 of the family's 1533-position model. The record is from RNAcentral.
GUAGGGUGCGAGCGUUAUCCGGAAUCAUUGGGCGUAAAGAGCUCGUAGGCGGUUCAGCAAGUCGGCUGUGAAAUUCCGAGGGCUCAACCUCGGAACUGCAGUCGAUACUGUUGUGACUCGAGUCCGGUAGAGGAGAAUGGAAUUCCCGGUGUAGCGGUGAAAUGCGCAGAUAUCGGGAGGAACACCAGUAGCGAAGGCGGUUCUCUGGGCCGGCACUGACGCUGAGGAGCGAAAGCGUGGGUAGCAAACAGGAUUAGAUACCCUGGUAGUCCACGCUGUAAACGUUGGAUACUAGGUGUGGGGUUCCGACCAACGGUCCCCGUGCCGAAGCUAACGCAUUAAGUACCCCGCCUGGGGAGUACGGCCGCAAAGACUAA